Molecule: non-coding RNA, 447 nt
Organism: Chrysochloris asiatica (Cape golden mole)
Lineage: Eukaryota; Metazoa; Chordata; Mammalia; Afrosoricida; Chrysochloridae
Source: the annotation of a RefSeq genome assembly
AUGGAGUUGUUGCUGAGAAUUGCUUUGGUGAUAUUGUGGCUUCAAGGUUGGGUCAACAGCCAAAAGGUGGAACAGAGUCCUCCAGCCCUGAGCAUGCAGGAGGGUGAGAAGGCCGUUCUGAUCUGUAACUUCACAAGUUCGCCAACCUACUUACAAUGGUACAGACAAGAUCCAGGAAGAGGAUUGGUCUUCUUGGUACGAAUACGUGAAAAUGAUGGUGACAAAUUGGAAGGAAGACUAAGGGUCACCUUUGAAAGGACCAUCAAACAGAGCUCUCUUCAAAUCCCAGCUUCCCAACCUGAAGACUCAGCCACCUACUUCUGUGCUGUAGACACACAGCAGGGCCCUGAUACCCACUUCCUGCACCAAAACCUUGCUGGUCUCCUAAAGUCACCAGAGCUGGGGGCUGUGCCUUUAAGGCAGUUCCCACAGUUCCUGGCAAAAUAA